This 81-nucleotide antisense RNA is filed under the name Citrobacter portucalensis. RNAcentral's name for it is "antisense RNA of dnaA mRNA". It matches the Rfam family "antisense RNA of dnaA mRNA". Lineage: Bacteria; Pseudomonadati; Pseudomonadota; Gammaproteobacteria; Enterobacterales; Enterobacteriaceae. The record is from RNAcentral.
UUUCGCGUUGGGUUUACGCGCCAUAAUGCCGUUUCCGACAGCAUGCAGCAGGUGAGUUUUACCCAGACCCGUGCCGCCAUA